This 502-nucleotide ribosomal RNA is filed under the name uncultured bacterium. RNAcentral's name for it is "partial 16S ribosomal RNA". It matches the Rfam family "Bacterial small subunit ribosomal RNA", at positions 30 to 523 of the family's 1533-position model. The record is from RNAcentral.
AUUGAACGCUGGCGGCAUGCCUUACACAUGCAAGUCGAACGGCAGCACGGGUGCUUGCACCUGGUGGCGAGUGGCGAACGGGUGAGUAAUACAUCGGAACGUACCUUAUCGUGGGGGAUAACGCAGCGAAAGCUGUGCUAAUACCGCAUACGCCCUGAGGGGGAAAGCGGGGGAUCGCAAGACCUCGCGCGAUUAGAGCGGCCGAUGCCUGAUUAGCUUGUUGGUGGGGUAAAAGCCCACCAAGGCGACGAUCAGUAGCUGGUCUGAGAGGACGAUCAGCCACACUGGGACUGGGACACGGCCCAGACUCCUACGGGAGGCAGCAGUGGGGAAUUUUGGACAAUGGGGGAAACCCUGAUCCAGCCAUUCCGCGUGUGCGAUGAAGGCCUUCGGGUUGUAAAGCACUUUUGGCAGGAAAGAAAUCGCAUCAAUUAAUACUUGGUGUGGAUGACGGUACCUGCAGAAUAAGCACCGGCUAACUACGUGCCAGCAGCCGCGGUAA